AUUGAACGCUGGCGGCAUGCCUUACACAUGCAAGUCGAACGGUAACAGGUUAAGCUGACGAGUGGCGAACGGGUGAGUAAUGUAUCGGAACGUGCCCAGUCGUGGGGAGUAACUGCUCGAAGAAGCAGCUAAUACCGCAUACGACCUGAGGGUGGAAAGCGGGGGAGUCGCAAGACCUCGCGCGAUUGGAGCGGCCGGAUAUCAGAUUAGGUAGUUGGUGGGGUAAAGGCCUCCAAGCCGCGAUCUGUAGCUGGUCUGAGAGGACGGACCAGCCACACUGGGACGUGAGACACGGCCCAGACUCCUACGGGAGGGCAGCAGUGGGGGAAGUUUUUGGUACAAUGGGCGGCAAAGCCUGAUCCAGCCAUGCCGCGUGCGGGAAGAAGGCCUU
RNAcentral lists this ribosomal RNA (391 nucleotides) under uncultured bacterium. Its description in RNAcentral is "bacterial SSU rRNA". It matches the Rfam family "Bacterial small subunit ribosomal RNA", at positions 29 to 418 of the family's 1533-position model. The record is from RNAcentral.